RNAcentral lists this transfer RNA (74 nucleotides) under Planctomycetes bacterium B3_Pla. RNAcentral describes it as "tRNA-His". It matches the Rfam family "tRNA". Rfam says of the family: Transfer RNA (tRNA) molecules are approximately 80 nucleotides in length. Their secondary structure includes four short double-helical elements and three loops (D, anti-codon, and T loops). Further hydrogen bonds mediate the characteristic L-shaped molecular structure. tRNAs have two regions of fundamental functional importance: the anti-codon, which is responsible for specific mRNA codon recognition, and the 3' end, to which the tRNAs corresponding amino acid is attached (by aminoacyl-tRNA synthetases). tRNAs cope with the degeneracy of the genetic code in two manners: having more than one tRNA (with a specific anti-codon) for a particular amino acid; and 'wobble' base-pairing, i.e. permitting non-standard base-pairing at the 3rd anti-codon position. Lineage: Bacteria; Pseudomonadati; Planctomycetota. The record is from RNAcentral.
GUGAAAGUAGCUCAGUCGGUUAGAGCACCAGAUUGUGGAUCUGGGGGUCGCGGGUUCGAUUCCCGUCUUUCACC